This 468-nucleotide ribosomal RNA is filed under the name uncultured bacterium. RNAcentral describes it as "partial 16S ribosomal RNA". It matches the Rfam family "Bacterial small subunit ribosomal RNA", at positions 28 to 507 of the family's 1533-position model. The record is from RNAcentral.
GACGAACGCUGGCGGCGUGCUUAACACAUGCAAGUCGAACGGAAAGGCCCUGCUUUUGUGGGGUGCUCGAGUGGCGAACGGGUGAGUAACACGUGAGUAACCUGCCCUUGACUUUGGGAUAACUUCAGGAAACUGGGGCUAAUACCGGAUAGGAGCUCCUGCUGCAUGGUGGGGGUUGGAAAGUUUCGGCGGUUGGGGAUGGACUCGCGGCUUAUCAGCUUGUUGGUGGGGUAGUGGCUUACCAAGGCUUUGACGGGUAGCCGGCCUGAGAGGGUGACCGGCCACAUUGGGACUGAGAUACGGCCCAGACUCCUACGGGAGGCAGCAGUGGGGAAUAUUGCACAAUGGGCGGAAGCCUGAUGCAGCAACGCCGCGUGCGGGAUGACGGCCGUCGGGUUGUAAACCGCUUUCGCCUGUGACGAAGCGUGAGUGACGGUAAUGGGUAAAGAAGCACCGGCUAACUACGGG